UACGUAGGGCGCAAGCGUUGUCCGGAAUUAUUGGGCGUAAAGAGCUCGUAGGCGGUUUGUCGCGUCGGAUGUGAAAGCCCGGGGCUUAACUCCGGGUCUGCAUUCGAUACGGGCAGGCUAGAGUUCGGUAGGGGAGAUCGGAAUUCCUGGUGUAGCGGUGAAAUGCGCAGAUAUCAGGAGGAACACCGGUGGCGAAGGCGGAUCUCUGGGCCGAUACUGACGCUGAGGAGCGAAAGCGUGGGGAGCGAACAGG
Molecule: ribosomal RNA, 253 nt
Filed under: uncultured bacterium
Lineage: Bacteria
Description: partial 16S ribosomal RNA
Rfam family: Bacterial small subunit ribosomal RNA
Source: RNAcentral